This 876-nucleotide ribosomal RNA is filed under the name Trupanea pantosticta. RNAcentral describes it as "partial 16S ribosomal RNA". The record is from RNAcentral. Lineage: Eukaryota; Metazoa; Arthropoda; Insecta; Diptera; Tephritidae.
AUUAUUGGAAAUGAAAUGUUAUUCGUUUAUAAAGAUAUCUAGUUUUUUUAGAAAUAAAUUUAAUUUAAAAGUUUUUAAUUUUAUUAAUUAAUUAUAUUAAUUAAUAAGUUUAAAAAUUUUAAUAUUUUAAGGGAUAAGCUUUAAAAUAAAUUUUUAUAAAUUAAUAAAUAAUAAUUAAAAUUAUAUACAUAGAAUUAGUAAUUAUUAAAAAAUUUGUUAUAAAUUAUUUUAUAAAAUAUAUUAUUUAUUAUAAUUUUAAAUUUUUAUAAAAAUAUUUUUUAAAAUUUUAUAUAAAAAGUAAUAAUGAUAAAAUUAGUAUAUAUAUAUAUGUAAAUAUAAUUUAUUUUGAUAAGUUUAUAUAAAGAACUCGGCAAAUAUUUUACUCGCCUGUUUAACAAAAACAUGUCUUUUUGAGUUUUUUUUAAAGUCUAACCUGCCCAAUGAAUAAUUUAAUGGCCGCAGUAUUUUGACUGUGCAAAGGUAGCAUAAUCAUUAGUCUUUUAAUUGAAGGCUUGAAUGAAUGGUUGGACGAAGUAUAAUCUGUUUCAUUUAAAUUUAUUAUAGAAUUUUAUAUUUUAGUAAAAAAGCUAAAAUAUUUUUAAAAGACGAGAAGACCCUAUAAAUCUUUAUAAUUUAAAUUAUUUUUAUUUUUUAUAUUUAUUUUAUUUAAAUAAUUUAAAUUAUUUUGUUGGGGUGAUAUUAAAAUUUAAUAAACUUUUAAUUUAAUUAUUUCAUUAAUUUAUGUUUUAUUGAUCCAUUAAUAAUGAUUAAAAGAAUAAGUUACUUUAGGGAUAACAGCGUAAUUUUUUUGGAGAGUUCUUAUUGAUAAAAAAGUUUGCGACCUCGAUGUUGGAUUAAGAUAUAGGUUUAGGUGUA